GAAAAGAAACCAACAGGGAUCCCCCUAGUAACGGCGAGUGAAGCGGGAAGAGCUCAAAUUUGAAAUCGUGCGCGGGUAACCGUGUCAUGAAUUGUAAUUUGAUGAGGUAUGCUUGGUGAACGCCCGGGUUAAAGUCCUUUGGAAAAGGGCAUCAUAGAGGGUGACAAUCCCGUUUAUGGCCUGGUCAGCGGUUUAUCGUGUAAGCUACCUUCAAAGAGUCGGGUUGUUUGGGAAUGCAGCCCUAAGCUGGUGGUAAAUUCCAUCUAAGGCUAAAUAUUCGUGAGAGACCGAUAGCGAACAAGUACCGUGAGGGAAAGUUGAAAAGCACUCUGGAGAGAGAGUCAAACAGCACGUGAAAUUGUUAACAGGGAAACGUUGGGCCCCAGUACGCGCCUCGCGUAAAAUCAACCAUUUCUUCCUAAUGAUGCAGGUUAGGGUGGAGGAGUCGUUAACGCGGCCCUUGCCUUAUUCCUCGUCUGAUGGGGUGGUGCACUUUUGCGUGGGCGGGUCAACAUCGGUUAAGUCCGUCGGAAACUCCUGGGUUGAAUGUUGGCGAUGGCAACUGACCCACUUAUAGCCUCCCUUGAAUGCGAUGGACUUGACCGAGGAGUCGCGGCUCGUGCCCUUGGGCAGACCCCCUAUUCCCUCAGAUCCUGCUUUGGCCGGACAGCUUGCUGACCUGUCUUAGUUGGGUGAAGAUGUGGUGUGGGUAGGGUCUAACGAGCCUCGGACGUGCAAAAUUA
Molecule: ribosomal RNA, 743 nt
Filed under: Piptocephalis indica
Lineage: Eukaryota; Fungi; Zoopagomycota; Zoopagomycetes; Zoopagales; Piptocephalidaceae
Description: eukaryotic LSU rRNA
Rfam family: Eukaryotic large subunit ribosomal RNA
Source: RNAcentral